GGUGUCACUGUUGGUAGGUGUGUUGUAACCAAGAUUAGUAAUUAAUUACUAAUUAUAUCAUUACCUCAGGGCUCACACUACUUCAACUCGAUUUUAAAAGUCCACUAGAGCUUGUUACUUUGUUACAUUGUAUCAUAUCAUUACCUCAGGGCUCACACUACUUCAACUCGAUUUUAAAAGUCCACUAGAGCUUGUUACUUUGUUACAUUGUAUCAUAUCUAGUUGCACUAUUUUUGAUAAUAAAGUACGAAACUUCCAGCUAUUUACAGGCCCCUAAAAAUUGAGGAGAAAUUACCCCUUGGAAUUGCAGUAAUUUGUUUACACUUUAAAAACAUCUGCAUGUCAUAUCCACAUGUAUUAAUGAUAAAAGAAAAAUGCUGUCACAUUGUAUUGGAUGUUGACAUGGAAAUUUGUCAACUAAAAAACUUAUUAAGUAAUUUUGAGUUUCAACCUAAAAUAUUUUCUGGUCUUUCUUUCUUUUCCAUAUAUCUUUUGGUUUUCAAUUCUAGUGAUUAUAUUUCAUAAUCUUAGAUGUAUUUCACAAACUUCAAGCCUGACAUUUAUUUUUUUAUUGUAUUUGAUCGGCAAACCCGGAAUUACCCUUAUCCGUCCCGGAAACUGAUCCGGUAUUGUAAUUAUCUUCAUUUCCGGUUUAUAUAUGGCAUCCAUUGUUUUUCUAUGUUGAUGUUGUCAGUCAGAUACGAUUUCACUCGGAUUUACAAAUUACUUUUUAACGAUUUUCGGUAUAAAAUUAGCGGUUGGAUAAAAUGAAUAUUGCUGUCAUGAAUAAUAAAGAUGAGAAUUUAUUUUGAGAUCGUUUAUUUGGAAAUUUUGAUAAAAAGGUCUGCGAAGUUAUUUUUUAUUUUCUUUCAAAUCGAAGGUCCGUCGGGCGUAGCUAGUAACCAAAACGAAGGUCCGCUUGCAAAAGUGGAAGGUCGCGGACCUCGGACCACCGUUAAUUUGAACCCCUGCU
RNAcentral lists this long non-coding RNA (973 nucleotides) under Mytilus galloprovincialis (Mediterranean mussel). Lineage: Eukaryota; Metazoa; Mollusca; Bivalvia; Mytilida; Mytilidae. The record is from RNAcentral.